GACGAACCGUGCGAACGUUGUUCGGAUUCACUGGGCUUAAAGGGCGCGUAGGCGGCCAGCACAAGUCAGUUGUGAAAUCUCCGGGCUUAACUCGGAAAGGUCAACUGAUACUGUGCGGCUAGAGUGCGGAAGGGGCAACUGGAAUUCUCGGUGUAGCGGUGAAAUGCGUAGAUAUCGAGAGGAACACCUGCGGCGAAGGCGGGUUGCUGGGCCGACACUGACGCUGAGGCGCGAAAGCCAGGGGAGCGAACGGG
RNAcentral lists this ribosomal RNA (254 nucleotides) under uncultured bacterium. RNAcentral describes it as "partial 16S ribosomal RNA". It matches the Rfam family "Bacterial small subunit ribosomal RNA", at positions 524 to 776 of the family's 1533-position model. The record is from RNAcentral.